RNAcentral lists this ribosomal RNA (357 nucleotides) under uncultured microorganism. Its description in RNAcentral is "bacterial SSU rRNA". It matches the Rfam family "Bacterial small subunit ribosomal RNA", at positions 9 to 367 of the family's 1533-position model. The record is from RNAcentral.
GAGUUUGAUCUUGGCUCAGGACGAACGCUGGCGGCGUGCCUAAUACAUGCAAGUCGAGCGAGGGUUUUUAAGACCCUAGCGGCGGACGGGUGAGUAACACGUAGGCAACCUGCCUCUCAGACCGGGAUAACAUAGGGAAACUUAUGCUAAUACCGGAUAGGUUUUUGGAUUGCAUGAUCCGAAAAGAAAGAUGGCUUUUCGCUAUCACUGGGAGAUGGGCCUGCGGCGCAUUAGCUAGUUGGCGGGUAACGGCCUACCAAGGCGACGAUGCGUAGCCGACCUGAGAGGGUGACCGGCCGACACUGGGACUGAGACACGGCCCAGACUCCUACGGGAGGCAGCAGUAGGGAAUUUUCC